Molecule: non-coding RNA, 73 nt
Organism: Leucogyrophana mollusca
Lineage: Eukaryota; Fungi; Basidiomycota; Agaricomycetes; Boletales
Source: the annotation of a GenBank genome assembly
GACCACACAGCCCAGUGGUUAGAGCGACCGGUAUAUGUCCAGGAGGUCCUGGGUUCAAUCCCUAGUCUGGUCA